GUUUAUGAUUUUCAAAACGUAUAAAUUAUAUAAAUGUCUUUAAUAUAAAAUUAUAGACAAAACAUAACAAAAUAAAUAUCAAAACAAAAUGGUGACAUUCCCGUCCUGGACUCCGACUUUAACAUUCAGUGCAGGACCAAAACAAUAAAAAAUACACAAAAGAGGGUAUUUAGAUUUAGUUGGUAUCCUCUCAUUUAAAAGCUUACGAUUCGACGUAAAAACUCGCAUGGAAUAUACAGUAGACGCGCGAGUUCAUGUCCAUCCUGAGGAAUACGGUAGUGCUGUGACCUAGUUAAUUAUGGUAAUGUCGAUAAUAACUACCGAUUUAGUCAACAGCUGUUUGGUCAAUUUGGUUUAAUGUAACAUAAGGCCAUUUUGCAAUUUAUGAAAUAAAAUAAUUGUGAUAAGUAA
Bombyx mori (domestic silkworm) is the source of this 411-nucleotide long non-coding RNA. RefSeq lists it as uncharacterized. The record is from RefSeq and is a predicted model, not a curated record. The transcript is spliced from 2 exons. Lineage: Eukaryota; Metazoa; Arthropoda; Insecta; Lepidoptera; Bombycidae.